UGGGGAAUAUUGCACAAUGGGCGCAAGCCUGAUGCAGCCAUGCCGCGUGUGUGAAGAAGGCCUUCGGGUUGUAAAGCACUUUCAGCGGGGAGGAAGGCGAUAAGGUUAAUAACCUCAUCGAUUGACGUUACCCGCAGAAGAAGCACCGGCUAACUCCGUGCCAGCAGCCGCGGUAAUACGGAGGGUGCAAGCGUUAAUCGGAAUUACUGGGCGUAAAGCGCACGCAGGCGGUCUGUCAAGUCGGAUGUGAAAUCCCCGGGCUUAACCCGGGAAUUGCAUCUGAUACUGGUCAGCUAGAGUCUUGUAGAGGGGGGUAGAAUUCCAUGUGUAGCGGUGAAAUGCGUAGAGAUGUGGAGAAAUACCGGUGGCGAAGGCGGCCCCCUGGACAAAGACUGACGCUCAGGUGCGAAAGCGUGGGGAGCAAACAGG
RNAcentral lists this ribosomal RNA (429 nucleotides) under Chloroflexota bacterium. Its description in RNAcentral is "Chloroflexi bacterium partial 16S ribosomal RNA". It matches the Rfam family "Bacterial small subunit ribosomal RNA", at positions 355 to 776 of the family's 1533-position model. The record is from RNAcentral. Lineage: Bacteria; Bacillati; Chloroflexota.